AGCAGUGUGGCUCAGUGGCAAGAGCCCGGGCUUGAGAGUCAGAGGUCAUGGGUUCGAAUCCCAGCUCUGCCA
Molecule: non-coding RNA, 72 nt
Organism: Ornithorhynchus anatinus (platypus)
Lineage: Eukaryota; Metazoa; Chordata; Mammalia; Monotremata; Ornithorhynchidae
Source: Rfam